CUUGGCAUGGGCGAAGCUGACGCUCACGCCGCGUGCGGGAUGAAGGCCCUCGGGUUGUAAACCGCUUUUAACAGGAACGAAAAUGACGGUACCUGUAGAAUAAGGUGCGGCCAACUACGUGCCAGCAGCCGCGGUGACACGUAGGCACCAAGCGUUGUCCGGAUUUAUUGGGCGUAAAGAGCUCGUAGGCGGUUCAGUAAGUCGGGUGUGAAAACUCUGGGCUUAACCCAGAGACGCCACUCGAUACUACUGUGACUAGAGUUCGGUAGGGGAGCGGGGAAUUCCUAGUGUAGCGGUGAAAUGCGCAGAUAUUAGGAGGAACACCGGUGGCGAAGGCGCCGCUCUGGGCCGAAACUGACGCUGAGGAGCGAAAGCGUGGGUAGCAAACAGGAUUAGAUACCCUGGUAGUCCACGCCGUAAACGGUGGGCACUAGGUGUGGGUUCCAACCAACGGGAUCCGCGCCGUCGCUAACGCAUUAAGUGCCCCGCCUGCGGAGUACGGCCGCAAGGUUAAAACUCAAAGGAAUUGACGGGGGCCCGCACAAGCAGCGGAGCGUGUUGCUUAAUUCGAUGCUACGCGAAGAACCUUACCUGGGUUUGACAUGUACGGAAAAGCCACAGAGAUGUGGUGUCCUUCGGGGGUCGUCCCCGGGUGUGCAUUGGUGGUCGCGCUCGUGUCGUGAGAUGUU
RNAcentral lists this ribosomal RNA (689 nucleotides) under uncultured bacterium. RNAcentral describes it as "bacterial SSU rRNA". It matches the Rfam family "Bacterial small subunit ribosomal RNA", at positions 364 to 1076 of the family's 1533-position model. The record is from RNAcentral.